Molecule: ribosomal RNA, 471 nt
Filed under: uncultured bacterium
Lineage: Bacteria
Description: bacterial SSU rRNA
Rfam family: Bacterial small subunit ribosomal RNA
Source: RNAcentral
GUGAAAGACGGUGGCUCAACCAUCGUUAGCCAUUGAAACUGGUAGUCUUGAGUGCAGACAGGGAUGCUGGAACUCGUGGUGUAGCGGUGAAAUGCUUAGAUAUCACGAUGAACUCCGAUCGCGAAGGCAGGUGUCCGGGCUGCAACUGACGCUGAGGCUCGAAAGUGUGGGUAUCAAACAGGAUUAGAUACCCUGGUAGUCCACACAGUAAACGAUGUAUACUCGCGGUUUGCGAUAUAAUGUAAGCCGCCAAGCGAAAGCAUUAAGUAUACCACCUGGGGAGUACGCCGGCAACGGUGAAACUCAAAGGAAUUGACGGGGGCCCGCACAAGCGGAGGAACAUGUGGUUUAAUUCGAUGAUACGCGAGGAACCUUACCCGGGCUUGAACUAAGAGUGACAGAUUUAGAGAUAGAUCUUUCUUCGGACACUCUUGGAGGUGCUGCAUGGUUGUCGUCAGCUCGUGUCGUGAG